Molecule: long non-coding RNA, 1520 nt
Filed under: Heterocephalus glaber (naked mole-rat)
Lineage: Eukaryota; Metazoa; Chordata; Mammalia; Rodentia; Bathyergidae
Description: lncRNA (ENSHGLG00100042962.1)
Source: RNAcentral
CACCGGAAGUGCCCAGCCCCGCAAGACUGGGUGAUACACAGAAUUCAACGGGCGCCCGGACCAUGCGGCUGUGAUCACCGGCGCUCCGGGUCUGCCUACAGAGACAUCUUCUGGAACCGUGGGUCUGGCUGGCGGGAGUUCCCGGACUUUAGCCUACCCCAGAAAAAUCAGUAAAAACUGCAGCGCUCGGCCUGGAAGCAGCAGCCUGGCCACUGUCCUGACAGAUUGCCGAAUGCCUUGGAGCAGGGCCUGGGUUCGGCUGAUGCCCCACCCAUCCGUCCAUGAAGCUCCCGCACAGCCGGAUGGCGUGAGAUUGCAGUAUCUGCCCUAGGCCCCUGUCUACCAUCUCUGGCUCAAAAGAUCCCUGGGCCAGAAUCUACUAGACACAAUAGGCCACUUCAUCUCUGUUGCUUCAAUACCCAAACCUAAAUCCACUAAUCGUAAUUCCCCAAUUUAUAGUUUUCUUACCAGGCAUCUUAUUUCAGCUUUCGAAGUGAUACUCAGGUAGUGUGGAGGACUAACGGUCAGCUUCCUGGAAGGCCCAGCUGAACCGAGCCAGCACGGUUCUGGGUGCGGAAGACCCGCCUGAGGACUGCUGCCAACCGCAUAAAAGGAGAACCGGAGGUGAAGAUCGAAUGCUGUUGAUGCUCCUGGGAGGCUUUGCCGCGGCUGGUUUUCCUGGUGCGAACUCCGCUGUUCUCAUUGUCAGAGGAGGAGCUCGAGUCCCCCCUGUCGCCGGGGAUGGCUGCUGUUCUUGUCGGGGGAGCUCUGCUCUUCGCCUUGAGCCCCCUCAGGCUGGUGCCACAGGAUUUCUGGCUUCCACCAGUGGCCUUCGGGCCUUCCCGGUGCAGAUGCUCAAUGUGGACUUGCAUGGGACCCUGCCGUGGGCUCUGGGCCUCUGGCCGGACUCGUGGGGGACACUGCCUUGGGCAAGACAUUGUAGUCAUCAGAGCCGGGGAUUUAGCUCAGUGGUUCCAGUGCCUGCCUUGCAAGCACAAGGUCCUGAGUUUGAUCCCUGGUACCAAAAAAAAAAAAAAGACAUUGUAGUCAUCAAUACAGUGUGUGAAUCCUCCCCUAUCAGCAUGUACAGAGCUGCUUCAGUCUUUCUCAAGGCCGCAUGGAAAAUUCCGUGUAAGGAUGUCAAGGAAUCAAUGCGCCUCUCUGGGAUCAGGAAGGAAGAAUUAGCCAACACCAGGGAUCUGUGCCAAGCAGCCUGUUCUGAUGGCUGCUCUGAUUCUGCUUUGAGAGAAUGUCACCCACUUUGUCUUUGGCAGUCAGGAGUCAGUACUCGACCCAUCACCUGGGAUCCAAUCAGUCUCGUUUCCUAACCAAACUCCCAACUAAUGUAAAUAAUCGGACUUAGGAACCAGAGGACUGACUCCAGAAGAUGAGAUACCCGGUCACUGAGGCGCAGCCGGAAAUCGUGGAGGAGGGAAGUGUGCUCCGGACUGGUCUCCCUCUUGUCCUCUUUCCCUUCCCGCCCUCGCCUCCUUGGCAUUCUGGCAGGCUUGGGGCCCUGA